AACAGAUCACGAUAGCUCGGGCUUUGUUGAAUUACAGAAUAAAGGAAAAGAUGGCUAUGGCAAACUCCUCCAAUGCUCCAAUACUAUUUACAAAGAAGUUUCCUAGUCAGAAUCCUAGACCAACAAGUCCACAGCCUCCUGCUACCACCUCGAAAAUCCUUCCUUUAAUCUGCCCGAAGGUGGUUCCUCGAAACAGAUCUAUGUCAGCAACAGCAAAUGAGAAGCCCGUACAGACAUCAUCGCAAACACCUACUCCUGAAAGCCGUGGUGUUCGUCCACAGAAAUUCCCUGCAGCUGGAGCAGCGCCUUAUGUUCCCAUCAGACAAUUAAGGACACCUUGCUGUGGCAUUGCUCCACCAGUGACAAUAAGAACUGCAGUGCCUGUUUUCUCUGCACCUCCGCGUCCAGCACCAUCUGCAGUAUCUCCUCAGCCACCGACAUCACUGGUUCCUACUCAUCCCGCUCAACCAGCACAAUCUGUUCUUCCUCCUCAUCAACUGCCAGCGACACUCCCCUCUCAAGUGCUGCGAGCUCCUCCAGUACGAAUUGCCCAAGCAGUCACCAUUAGGCAAGUGGUUCCUGUAUUUGCUGCUCCACCGGUACGGAAAGAAGAUAAACAAUCCGUUCCUCUCAGAAAUGAAGAUAUCACAACCGCUACUGCUGCUCCCCCGCCUAACCAAUCACCUACUCAAGCAGAGGAAGCAGCAAGCACAAUAUUGAAGAACCUGCAAGAAUCUGAGACGGUACAGAGUUUAGAACAACUCAAAAUCUGAUGGCAAGGAAGGAUCGAAUUCCGAAUGGAAGCAAUGGAGUAAGAGCUAUGGUUUUGUGUUGGUAUCAAAGUUUGUUUUUGUUACUUUUUGUCAACUCAUAUAUGAGUGUUCUUUUUCAUUUUGUUUUCUUAGAAAGCUAAAGCUACAGUUUCUGCAGAUUAAGUUAGUCCCAUAUAAUUGCAGUUAAAGUUAGACUAUGUCUAGAGGCAAAUUCUUAUUUAGUUUAUUUAUAAUUACCCCCCCCUCCCCGGAUCUAAUCCAAUGCUUCUGCUCGUAUUCAAUUUUAAAUGGUCAAAUUGUGGUUUUGGUCCUUGAGAUUUUUUUCUUAAAAAAUAUAUUUUCCAACACAAAAUCUUUGCCAGCAUGGUGAGGGGUCAAAAUUAUAAUAUCACCUCAAUAUUUUAACCAUGAUAUAGAAAAUUAUAAAUGAAUGGAUUUAUGCUUCCGUCUUUUUCAACCAGUCUCUUACUCUUCGGAAAAGCAAGUGUCGUGUCGAAGCUACCACGAUUGGAUAGUAAUGGGAGUAGUGAAUGAUGGUUGAGUCCCCACUAAAUCCAUUUCCCAACAUUAUGAGAAUCUGCUAAUUUUGGGCAAAGCUCAUUUGUGAUAUGGAAAGAUAAAUUGUUAAAGCAAGCAACUACAUGGACGCUCAAAUCUUUAAUAAAUCUAAGUAGUGGAAAGGAAAAGAUAUACAUUAACAUAGCUGGGGCGUUGGAAAGAUAUAGAUAUAUUUGGAAAAUCAGUGAAUGAUGUUUUCCAUUCAUAAACAACAAAAGACCAUCUUUCUCUUUUGAUUCACAUUGCUCUGUUUUAGUCUUUCUUGAUUUUAAACUCUCUUACAUCACCCUCUCCCCUCAACACUACUCUCUGUUUCCUUCACUUUGUGGGAUGGUUCUGGCUUAGAUUGUUGAAGUACAUCAGAGGGUAAAAACUGGAUUGGUGAACUAUUUGUGAUUUUCCACUAGUAUAUAUCAUAUUUGGUUAACUUUUGAACGUAAGUUGAGUACUUGGCAAUGGUUGUGCCUCAACUGUUAGCAUAUAUGCAUGUCGCAUAGGACCUCACGACUUGUCCCGGUCUUUGAAAAUCUGGAUACUUUUAUAAAACUUCAAAUUGCCUUAUAUGUCUAAUUCAUCUGUUGGCAGGUUAUAGCAGUUAAUGGGGCGUUUCCUGGUCCUGUUGUUAAGGUCACAACUGUGAAUAUUAAUGCUCACAAUCAGUUGGACGAAAAUCUUUUGAUGACUUGGUAGGAUUUGAGUGUUGAGAUAAAAAAAAUUUCUUCUUCCCUUGGGAUAUUAUUACUACUAUUAUUUGUUCCAAGUCAGGUUCUGAAACUAGAGAUUUUACCGGGCCAGGAAUUCCAAAUUCAUGGCAGGAUGGUGUUCUUGGCACCAACUCAUCCAAAAAAAGAAUUUUACUUACCCAUUUCUCAAGUCAAGGAUCAAAAUUGGGAGCUUUUUCUACUUCCCCUCCCUCCUCAAUUUUCAAAUUAAUAAUCGGAAUAUUAUAGUAAUUCCUUUUCACCCUGACCAUCAUGUCAAUAUACGAGAUUUUUUUUUUGCAAUUUAAGUCUAAUAAUUGACACACUCUUAUUUUAGGCAUUGAAAACAACUCGAGUCUGGUGAAGAAUUUGGGAUGCCGGAUGGAGUUCUCAUAUAGGAAACGACCCAUAAUUAUACCAUAUAUAGUUGCCUAAAGUUAGCUUGACUUAAAACAUAAACCUCAAGUUUGGUCAAAAUUUACCCAUAUUUGUAAUGUCUAUUUCAAACUUGUUUAAGUUUAUCUAUUUAUUUUUAUUUUUAUUUAUUAGUUAUUAGUUAUUAGUUAUUAUUUAUAUAUUUUUAUUAUAAUUAUACAUUUUUUCUUUCACUGCAUUUUUAAAUAUAAACAGCUUUAACAUAUGUUUAACAUUAAAAUUUAAUAUAAUAAAUUUUAUGUUUUUAUAUGAUAUAAAUCACAUCAUAUAUAACAAAAAGAAGAAAAUAAUAUAUUAUAAAAUUUAAAAUAGGCUGGAUCAAACCGAGUUUAAAUGUUUUUAUUUUCAAAUUCAUUUUUUAACUUAACCUUUUUAGUCAACAUUUUCAAAGAGCAAGUAGCUUUAUCUUUGAAUAAAUUUAGGGUCUGUUUGAUUGCAAGUAAAAUAUUUUUCGUAAAAUGAUUUUUAGAAAAUGUUUUACUUUUCUGUAAAAUGAUUUACUGGAAAAUAUUUUCUGGUGUUUGAUUGAAUCUGUGUAAAAUAUUUUCUGCUGCUUGGCAGAUUUUUUGAAAAUAUUUUUCGAAAAAGUUGUUUUUACAUAUAUUAAUAUAUAUUAAUAAAUUUUUAUAUUUUAAAUUAUUUUUACAUAUAUUGCAAUGAUUUAUUUAUAAUAAUACUCAAUUAUUAAGCUACAAUAUUAAUUGUUAUAAAUUGAAAAAAACUAAUAUCAAAUAAAUUAUUUGUAAUUGUGUUAAAAAAAUAAGUAUUGAAUAAUUAAAAAAACAAGUUACUGGAAAAUCGAUAAACAGAAGCAGUUUUCUACCGGAAAUGAAGGAAGGAAUGAAAGAGGCGAUAGGCGAUAGAGAGGAGAGCACGGAAAAUGUCUUACGAAAAUUGAAAGGGUAAGACAUUUUCCCUAAAAUGUAACCCAUUUUCCCUUGUUUUGGAGUUCAUUUUCCAAAUGGAAAAUGUUUUCCGCCAAUCAAACGCUGGAAAAGUUGAAAACGAUUUUCCGGAAAAUCAAUUCCGUCAAUCAAACAGACCCUUAGUAAUUAAUUGCCUAUUUUUAUUAAAAUAUAUAUUCACAUGGAUUUUUUUUUUGAAGAAAACAUUGUUCAAACAUAGAAAUUUAUGUAAUCAUUCUCCAAUUGGUAAGGAUUAAGGAUGACGUGGAAUCACAAUUUCUUACAAUCCCUUCUCAUCAUGUUGGAAUGAUUUUAAAAAAAAAUCCAACCAAAGUCUAUUUGAAUUAAUUACUGAUAUUAUAAAAAUAAAGAAAACAAAAUUAUGUGAAAUAAGUAAAUAGAAUAAUUUGAGCAUAAUGGAUUACCAAAGUGCUGGCUAAUCACUGCAAUAUGAAGAAUGGAGAGUCCAUCAUGAUCUCUAGUGUAAUGCUUGUGAAGAUUUCCUCCCAUUCCUUCCAUCUGUGUAGCCAAGUACUUCAUCGACAAGUUGCCAUAUUCGACAGCUCUGAACAAUGGGGUUUCCCCCAACUUGUUCCGAUCCGCCAGUAUCUCUUCCCUCUCCCGUAUAUAGUCUUCAUGAUGCAAGCCGUCAGAGAACAAUACCUCCUUCAUUAACAAAUCGGCUGCUUCGGCUUUGGCAGUGGUGACCAGUUCAUGGAGUACGGUGUUCCCAUAAACGUUCUUCACCUUCAAUACCUCGCACUUCUUUGUUUGCGGCACCAACUUAACCAGGGUUUGAAGCAUUGCUCCACUUCCUCUGUAAGCUGCAACGUGAAACAUAUGUAUCUCCACAAGCCGUGAUUGGGUUGAACAAGGCCUCAUGGUUUUCCUUGUAAGUCGCUGCCAACCACUGAUCGUGGUUUGCCAAAAGAGUUGUCGUAAGCCACUUUCAUUUCAUGGAAUUUGCUGUUCAUCUCGGAUUUGGAGAUCAUUAUUUCUUUCUCCAUUCCCAUUGAUGAAACUUUGAUAUAUAACUUAUAUAACUACAAUCCCUCUGGCCCCAACUUUCGUACCCAACGGCAUCGAGAAACCACACAACCAUUUAGCAUUUCAGUCUCGAAGUACACCUCUAAAUUGACGCAUGAAGUUCAUCAAUAUGUGACACUAGCCCAUCUGUAUUAUGAUUUAUCCAAUCCUUCUGGACAAGACUAAUUCAAUAAAAAACACAUGAAUUUAGAAUGAUCCAAUUUUAAAUUUGUCUCCGCAUAAUUCCUCGCCCGCAUAUAACCUGUAUCCACAAAGGCUUGAUCAUAAUUUUGACAGCUAAAAUAACAUUUUAAACAUUUAUUUAUCAUUUAAUGUAUGUUUUGUGAUAUUUAUGUUGAUUAUAAAAUUACUUAUCUUUUAAAUUUUAUUUCAAAUAUAUAGUGUUAUAUUUUUGAAUUUAUGAUAAUUAUAUUUUAAUAGUUAAAAUAUAAUUUAUAUAAUUAAAUUAAAAAUUUACAAAGAAUUAAAAUUAACUACUUAAACUUUAUAUUUCAGCUAUCAAAAAAUUAGUAAUAAAUUAAAAUAAAUAAUUUUCUCAUAUUUUUAUUGAAACAUUGAAUUUAAAUGUCAUUUAAAUAUAUAUAUUUACUUUUCAACAUUAUAUCUAAGAUCAAAAUUUUAACUUCUUAAAAACAAUUUUUAACAAUAGUACUUCAAUUUUAAACCAAUUUUUUUAAAAAAAAUUCGGGAGCAACGUAAUUCUAUUUAUAAAAGUUUUACAUAGGGUAGUAAUAAUUAAUCCAUUAAUAACUAAUAGGCAUAAUGAAAAAUUUAUCCCUUAAUGUUUAUAUUCUUUUUAUCAAUUUGACCCUUUUUCUUUUAGUUAAGUUUGACGCUUAAACUUCUAUAAAGAAUCGAAUUUAACCAUUAACCUUUCAAAAAAAAGUAGAAUUGUUUUUUUUUAAAUAUAAUAGUUAUUAAAACAUUUAAUUUUUAAACAUGGCAAACCGCAUGGUAAUUUAUGUGUAUUUCAUGUUAUUUUUUAAAUUUUUAUGAUUUUUUAUAUAUUUUUAAUUUUUAAAUAUUUAUUGACAUUACAUAUAAAACAAAUAGUUCCAUAUCAACAUCAAAUAAGAUUACCACAUGGGUUGCAAAACGAUUUGAUUUUUUUUUUGAAAGAUUAAUAAUUAGAUUUAACUAAAAAAAGAGAGAAUAAAUAUCAGAUUGAUAAAAGAUGUAAACAUUUAAAACUAAAUUUGUCAUUAAGCCCUAAAUAGUUAUAGCAAUUAUUUCAGCAACUAAUAUGUGUGGAUUUAAGUAUGUUUAAGCGCGUUUUUUUUUAAUUUAAGGGUUAAAAAUGUUAUAAAUAAAAGUAAACAUCUUAUGAAAAAUAUAUAUUACAUUACAAUAGAGAUAUAUACUUUUAUUUUGCUUAAAACAAAAAAGAAAAUCCAUGUAUUAUAAGGUUGUAAGUAAAUUUAUCUCUUUCAAAAUAAAUUGACCAAUUAAAUCUUUAUAUCAUUGCGAAGUAAGCAAAUAAAGAUAAUUAAAUAUGAUUAAUAUAUAUUUUAAAAAAAUCUCCAAAGUUUUUCAAAAGAAAAUGAAAAAAAUACGAAUAAUUUCAACCUUUAGUUUUGAUUCAAUUAAUUUUAUAACUUAAAAAUAUAAAUUAAUAAUAAUUAAUAUAAAAGUAUAAAAUUUUAAAAAUAAAAAAUAUUUAUAAUAUAUGAAAGCAAGAGCAAUUUUUGAAUUAAUUUAUCAUAUUAUUAAAUAACUAAUUUUAAAAAAAAUUAGACAUAAUAAUUUAUUAAUAUUUUACUAAUUACGAUGUGAUAAUAAUAAAAAUAUCAUUAUUUAACAAAUAAUUAAUAAAUAGUAUAUUAAUAUAGUAGAAUAAUUAUUUGGUGCGGUGAUGAAAAAUUUUAACUAUUGUUCGACUCUCCGUGGACCUUCUCACUCCCUCGCCGCUCGAAUCCUAGUAAGUUCUUUCUCAGAUCUUCUGCUAAUGGCGCGCCUUGUUUUUUUUCUUUUUUUUUUGUCUUUCUAUGCUAAAUUGAGCCGUGGGGUGUGAUCGGUGUUAGCCUGCUCCGCCGUCGUGAUCGCCGGAGGUUCAGCUCAGCUAGUCGUAGGGAAUUACUAGAAUGCCCUUCAAUAGUUAAUGAAUUAGCAGAAGGCAGUGGGUUUUCUUGGCUUUUCUUCAGAUGAUGGAAGCGAAAACUUAAUUAAUUUUUGAGGGAAAUAAAAAUGGGAUUCAAUCUUAUGAUUUUUCUUCAAUUUUUUCUCUCUCUAAUAUUCUGGGAAACUGCUGUAUUUUGAUGAUAUGGGUUUUGUAGGUGUAAUUAAUGGCUUAAUCAUGGAUAUUUUGAUCAUAAAAAUGUUUCAUUUCAGGCCAUCUCAAUUGACUGCCCGAGGAUAAAACGGUAGAGAAGGCAAAAUUUAAUUUGGUGUCUCAAUCUCUUGCAGACUUUAAUUAGUUCAAGUAGGUGUAUGAACAUUUGUUGGCGCAAUAGAAAAAAAAAACAACCCAGAAAAAGAAAAAGAAAAAGAAAUGUGAUAUGCAAAUGUUAUUGUAGGUUAAAAGAACGUGGUUUUUUGGGACAGGUUUUAUGGGAAGAGUGGGUUCGGUUUCGGGUUGGUAAUGCUUCCUAGAGAAACAGUUAGUUUUGCUUUAGCAAAUGAUCAAAGUUAUCAUUUUUAAUUUUGUAUGAAUUGUUUUGUUGAGACUGAGUGUUGGUGCAUUAUUAAUAUGAAUUGCCUUUUUCGGCAUAGUGAAAAGCAUGUAAAUACGAGCAAAAUGGGGUGCUUGGACUUAGGUUGGGGGAUCAUGUAGAACUACAAGGAUGAGAGGCAUUUUAGUUAAUUGUUUCAUAUGAUAUUCAUGAUGGUGGUUGAAAUUUUUCUCGUUGUGUUGCUUGUUUGUUUCUUGUUGUCAUCUUGGUUAGUUCACAACCGUUAAGACUCUUCGAUUUUCAUGUCCUGGUAGAAGUAGUUUGUAAACUUAUGAUUGUGUUCAUCGUGGUCAUCGGUGUUGUCUAAUCUAUGGACCAACUUGUGAAUGUUAUUAUAAUGAAGCUACGCACCUUCCGUGAAUUGGCAAAUUCUUGAUGAUUUUUGUUGUGUUUAUAUCUCAAUUUUCUCGAAUAUGCCUCUGGAUAUCUCAAUCUUCUUGUUCCUAGGAAUAAAUUAAUAUUCUAUUCCUUUCUAGAUAAACAGAAACAUGAGUUUUAUUGAGAUUGAUACUGAUCCGGCCUUGUUAUGUUAGGAUGAGACGGGAGUUUAUAAGAACCUCUUACAGGAAAUUGCACAAAGAGUUGGGGCUCCAUUGCCUCAGUAUACAACAUUUAGAUCAGGUCUCUGGCACCUGCCUAUUUUUACAGGAACGGUUGAAUUGGCUGGAAUCAGAUUCACUGGGGAACCAGCUAAGAACAAGAAACAAGCGGAAAAGAAUGCAGCCAUGGCAGCUUGGACAUCUCUAAAACUAUGUGAGUCUGUGUUUCAUUUUUCCUAGGGAUAAAUGUUUGUUCGAAAUUGAAUACUGUGUUUUAUUUCCAGUGGCGAAAGAAACUGCAAGUUCUUCUUCGGAGCCAGAGAACAAUGAUGAGCUUGAACAGAUCACGAUAGCUUGGGCUCUGUUGAAUAAAGGAAAAGAUGGCUAUGGCAAACUCCUCCAAUGCGCCAAUACUAUUUACAAAUAAGUUUCCUAGUCAGAAUCCUAGACCAACAAGUCCACAGCCUCCUGCUACCACCUCGAAAAUCCUUACUUUAAUCUGCCCGAAGGUGGUUCCUCGAAACAGAUCUAUGUCAGCAACAGCAAAUGAGAAGCCCGUACUGAUAUCAUUGCA
This 8201-nucleotide long non-coding RNA is filed under the name Gossypium raimondii (Peruvian cotton). Its description in RNAcentral is "long non-coding RNA (GRAI_LNC002360)". The record is from RNAcentral. Lineage: Eukaryota; Viridiplantae; Streptophyta; Magnoliopsida; Malvales; Malvaceae.